CUUCAGCUCAUUCUCAUUGCUGUUUCACAUUAGAAAACAUAAGGGAAGAGAAGAAAAUUCCCAAACCCUAACCCUUCACUCAAAUCCAUAUAUCUCUCAAUCUAGAACUCCGAUCGCUGCACCGUUUGCGGUCACGCGUCCACGCAUCGAGCUCUACAAAAUUCAGUAAUCAAUUCGGGUCCAAUUAGUUUAAGGAAUUAGCAAGUUUUUGUUGAAUUGAGGCACAGGUUGUGUAUAUGUGAAUUUGAAACACAAUUGAGGAGAUUGGAAGCUUGGUUGAGCUUUGGGUGCUGAAAUUCGGUGGUGGAGGCUUGUCAUUUUGCUAAUUUGGGUUAUCUUUGGCGUAGGAAAAAAUCGGUCAAGAAAUGGUUUUGGUUUCUCGUAUAUAAUAUUAAUGUGUCGUGAAAACUUAGGCUAGACGACUUAGGAUAAGAUAAAUUGUGUGUUUGAUGCCUAUUUAGUGAUUUUAGUUGAUGUACUAUGGGUUGGAUUGACGUGGAUAUUUGGUAUGUUGGUGAAAAGUAUGACUGUGGUGUAUGGUUGAUGAGGGGAUGACUUUAAUGAACUAUAAUGAUACAUUGAUGAUUGAUGUUGUAGUGAGAUUAAUGAACAUGAAUUAUUAUUGUUGGUAUAUUGAGGAAUAAUGUGUAUUGAAUGUAAUUGUUGGAGUUGGACUUGAUGAUUUUGUGGAAUGGGACGUCAUGAUAUGAAAAU
Non-coding RNA from Arachis ipaensis, 714 nucleotides. The record is from RefSeq and is a predicted model, not a curated record. NCBI's taxonomy places the organism in Eukaryota, Viridiplantae, Streptophyta, Magnoliopsida, Fabales, Fabaceae.